AGUGAACGCUGGCGGCAGGCCUAACACAUGCAAGUCGAACGGCAGCACAAGAGAGCUUGCUCUCUGGGUGGCGAGUGGCGGACGGGUGAGGAAUGCAUCGGAAUCUGCCCAUUUGUGGGGGAUAACCUCGGGAAACCGGGACUAAUACCGCAUACGACCUACGGGUGAAAGCAGGGGAUCUUCGGACCUUGCGCAGAUGGAUGAGCCGAUGCCGGAUUAGCUAGUUGGAGGGGUAAAGGCCCACCAAGGCGACGAUCCGUAGCUGGUCUGAGAGGAUGAUCAGCCACACUGGGACUGAGACACGGCCCAGACUCCUACGGGAGGCAGCAGUGGGGAAUAGUGGACAAUGGGCGCAAGCCUGAUCCAGCCAUGCCGCGUGUGAAGAAGGCCUUCGGGUUGUAAAGCACUUUUGUUGGGAAAGAAAAGCAGCCGGUUAAUACCCGGUUGUCAUGACGGUACCCAAAGAAUAAGCACCGGCUAACUUCGUG
This 488-nucleotide ribosomal RNA is filed under the name uncultured bacterium. Its description in RNAcentral is "partial 16S ribosomal RNA". It matches the Rfam family "Bacterial small subunit ribosomal RNA", at positions 29 to 507 of the family's 1533-position model. The record is from RNAcentral.